GACGAACGCUGGCGGCGUGCCUAACACAUGCAAGUCGAGCGGGGAUGAUGGAGAGCUUGCUCAAAAUCAUUCUAGCGGCGGACGGGUGAGUAACGCGUGAGCAACCUGCCUUCUACUGGGGAAUAACGCACCGAAAGGUGUGCUAAUACCGCAUGAGACCACAGAACCACAUGGUUUAGGGGUCAAAGAUUUUAUCGGUAGAAGAUGGGCUCGCGUCUGAUUAGCUAGUUGGUGAGGUAACGGCCCACCAAGGCGACGAUCAGUAGCCGACCUGAGAGGGUGAUCGGCCACAUUGGAACUGAGAAACGGUCCAA
Molecule: ribosomal RNA, 314 nt
Filed under: uncultured bacterium
Lineage: Bacteria
Description: bacterial SSU rRNA
Rfam family: Bacterial small subunit ribosomal RNA
Source: RNAcentral